Molecule: small RNA, 35 nt
Filed under: Arabidopsis thaliana (thale cress)
Lineage: Eukaryota; Viridiplantae; Streptophyta; Magnoliopsida; Brassicales; Brassicaceae
Description: ATSL236690
Source: RNAcentral
UAUUAGUAUUCAAAUGUUGCCGACCUCAAUCAACU